UUUAGCAGCAAUGGAGUGGGAUUGAAAGGAGUGCAUGUGGUUUGGUGUUCGGUCUUUUCAGAGAUUCAUGGUCUGGUGGGCAGUUUGGGAUUCGAGCCUCCCAAACAUUGAGUUAGCUCUGACAAUGUGUACAUCAAUCUCAUCAUCUAUGUGUACAUCCUGGAAAGUAUACUGACAAGGAUCAACUGCUGGGCAUAUUCUCAGAGCCUCAGUGAUACCUGCAGGCACAAAGUUCCCACACUGUGCCUCUACCUCAACACCACAAGGUCUCUCCAUGUGAUCAUUGUCAAAG
Molecule: long non-coding RNA, 292 nt
Organism: Dromiciops gliroides (monito del monte)
Lineage: Eukaryota; Metazoa; Chordata; Mammalia; Microbiotheria; Microbiotheriidae
Exons: 3
Source: RefSeq, a predicted model, not a curated record